GGGGUGGUGGCGCAGUUGGCUAGCGCGUAGGUCUCACAAUCCUGAGGUCGAGAGUUCGAGCCUCUCUCACCCCA
This 74-nucleotide transfer RNA is filed under the name Zea mays. RNAcentral describes it as "tRNA-Val (CAC) (tRNA-Val-CAC-3-1)". It matches the Rfam family "tRNA". Rfam says of the family: Transfer RNA (tRNA) molecules are approximately 80 nucleotides in length. Their secondary structure includes four short double-helical elements and three loops (D, anti-codon, and T loops). Lineage: Eukaryota; Viridiplantae; Streptophyta; Magnoliopsida; Poales; Poaceae. The record is from RNAcentral. RNAcentral also lists the same sequence under 1 other name.